CAGUGGAGCGACGAACCAGGGGCUUGCCCCUGGGGCAGAGCCGCGAACGGGUGAGUAACACGUGGGCAACCUGCCCCGAUGACUGGGACAACCCGAGGAAACUCGGGCUAAUACCGGAUGUGCUCCCGCCACACCAGUGGCGUGAGGAAGGGAAGCUUCGGCCUCCGCAUCGGGAUGGGCCCGCGGCCCAUUAGCUUGUUGGUGGGGUAACGGCCUACCAAGGCGACGAUGGGUAGCUGGUCUGAGAGGACGAUCAGCCACGCUGGGACUGAGACACGGCCCAGACUCCUACGGGAGGCAGCAGUGGGGAAUCUUGCGCAAUGCGCGAAAGCGUGACGCAGCAACGCCGCGUGGGGGAAGACGGCCUUCGGGUUGUAAACCCCUUUCAGUUGGGACGAAGUCCGGUCGGUGAACAGCCGCGCCGGGUGACGGUACCUUCAGAAGAAGCCCCGGCCAACUACGUGCCAGCAGCCGCGGUAAUACGUAUGGGGCAAGCGUUGUCCGGAAUCAUUGGGCGUAAAGCGCGUGUAGGCGGCUCGGUAAGUCCGCUCUGAAAGCCCGGGGCUCAACCCCGGGAGGCGGGCGGAUACUGCCGAGCUCGAGUCCGGAAGAGGCGAGUGGAAAUUCCUGGUGUAGCGGUGAAAUGCGCAGAUAUCAGAGGAACACCAAUGGCGAAAGGCAGCUCGCUGGGACGGUACUGACGCUGAGACGCGAAAGCG
Molecule: ribosomal RNA, 719 nt
Filed under: uncultured bacterium
Lineage: Bacteria
Description: bacterial SSU rRNA
Rfam family: Bacterial small subunit ribosomal RNA
Source: RNAcentral